This 214-nucleotide non-coding RNA is filed under the name Anaerolineae bacterium. RNAcentral describes it as "SAM-I sequence". It matches the Rfam family "SAM riboswitch aptamer (S box leader)". From Rfam's summary of the family: The SAM riboswitch is found upstream of a number of genes which code for proteins involved in methionine or cysteine biosynthesis in Gram-positive bacteria. The record is from RNAcentral. Lineage: Bacteria; Bacillati; Chloroflexota; Anaerolineae.
CUCUUAUCCAGAGAGGCAGAGGGACCGGCCCUGUGAAGCCUCGGCAACCAGGAGAUGGUAAAUUGGUAAACUGGUAAACUGGUAAAUUGGUAAAUUGGUGGUCUGCUCGAUGGGCAGCGACUUGCCACCAAUCUACCAACCUACCAAUCUACCAAUCUACCAGGUUACCACCCCAUGGUGCCAAUUCCGGCAGAGUUGAUCUGGAAGAUGAGAG